GUCAUGGUGGCCGAGUAGUUAAGGCGAGUGAUUUGAACAAAGAUAGUUUGUGUCUACAAUAUCACUUGGUGUUUCACCGCGUAGGUUCAAAUCCUGCCCAUGACG
Molecule: non-coding RNA, 105 nt
Organism: Armillaria borealis
Lineage: Eukaryota; Fungi; Basidiomycota; Agaricomycetes; Agaricales; Physalacriaceae
Source: the annotation of a GenBank genome assembly